CCUACGGGAGGCAGCAGUGGGGAAUAUUGCACAAUGGGGGAAACCCUGAUGCAGCGACGCCGCGUGAGUGAAGAAGUAUUUCGGUAUGUAAAGCUCUAUCAGCAGGGGAGAAGAAAGACGGUACCUGACUAAGAAGCACCGGCUAACUACGUGCCAGCAGCCGCGGUAAUACGUAGGGGGCACGCGUUAUCCGGAAUUACUGGGUGUAAAGGGAGCGUAGACGGGUGUGCAAGUCUGAAGUGAAAGCCCAGGGCUCAACCCUGGGACUGCUUUGGAAACUGUGAGGCUGGAGUGCUGGAGAGGUAAGUGGAAUGCCUGGUGUAGCGGUGAAAUGCGUAGAUAUUAGGAGGAACACCAGUGGCGAAGGCGGCUUACUGGACAGUAACUGACGUUGAGGCUCGAAAGCGUGGGGAGCAAACAGGAUUAGAUACCCGUGUAGUC
RNAcentral lists this ribosomal RNA (441 nucleotides) under uncultured bacterium. RNAcentral describes it as "partial 16S ribosomal RNA". It matches the Rfam family "Bacterial small subunit ribosomal RNA", at positions 338 to 795 of the family's 1533-position model. The record is from RNAcentral.